This 142-nucleotide non-coding RNA is filed under the name uncultured Lachnospira sp. The record is from RNAcentral. Lineage: Bacteria; Bacillati; Bacillota; Clostridia; Lachnospirales; Lachnospiraceae.
AUCGUGCUGAGUCUUAGACUUUUCCUUAAUACACCAGCUAUCAACAGACACGGAUGUCUGUUGAAGUUUGAUAUGGGACAAGGAUGUCCCGUAUCAAACGGUAGCGGUCGGUUAUCACUGCAUAUAUGAAAAGUCUUAGAGU